This 468-nucleotide ribosomal RNA is filed under the name uncultured bacterium. RNAcentral's name for it is "partial 16S ribosomal RNA". It matches the Rfam family "Bacterial small subunit ribosomal RNA", at positions 28 to 507 of the family's 1533-position model. The record is from RNAcentral.
GACGAACGCUGGCGGCGUGCUUAACACAUGCAAGUCGAACGGAUAGGCCCUGCUUUUUUGGGGUGCUCGCGUCGCGAACGUGUGAGUAACACGUGAGUCACCUUCCCUUUACUUUGUGAUAACUUCAGGAAACUGGUGCUAAUACCUGAUAGGAGCUCCUGCUGCAUGGUGGGGUUUGGACCGCUUCGGCGGAUGGGGAUGGACUUCCGGCUUAUCAGCUGGUUGGUUGGGGAGUUGCUUACCCAGGCUUUGACGGGUAGCCUGCCUGAGAGGGGGACCGGCAACAUGGGGACUGAGAGACGGAGCAGAGUGGUAUGGGAGGCAGAAGGGGGGAAUAUGGCACAAUGAGCGGAAGCGUGAGAAAGAAACGCCGCGUGCGGGAUGACGGCCUACGGGUUGUAAACCGCUGUCGGCUGUGACGAAGCGGGAGUGACGGUAAUGGGUAAAGAAGCACCGGCUAACUACGUG